Molecule: ribosomal RNA, 421 nt
Filed under: uncultured microorganism
Description: bacterial SSU rRNA
Rfam family: Bacterial small subunit ribosomal RNA
Source: RNAcentral
GAGUUUGAUCGUGGCUCAGAUUGAACGCUGGCGGCAUGCCUUACACAUGCAAGUCGAACGGCAGCAUGAUCUAGCUUGCUAGAUUGAUGGCGAGUGGCGAACGGGUGAGUAAUACAUCGGAACGUGCCCUGUAGUGGGGGAUAACUAGUCGAAAGAUUAGCUAAUACCGCAUACGACCUGAGGGUGAAAGUGGGGGACCGCAAGGCCUCAUGCUAUAGGAGCGGCCGAUGUCUGAUUAGCUAGUUGGUGGGGUAAAGGCCCGACCAAGGCGACGAUCAGUAGCUGGUCUGGGAGGACGAUCAGCCACACUGGGACUGAGACACGGCCCAGACUCCUACGGGAGGCAGCAGUGGGGAAUUUUGGACAAUGGGCGAAAGCCUGAUCCAGCAAUGCCGCGUGUGUGAAGAAGGCCUCGGUGUAG